UGUAUUUUGGAGAGGAUGUUUCGGGCCACCUGCCUUCCGGGUUCCUUGGAACGGGACGCCAUAAAGGGUGAGAGCCCCGUACGGUUGGAUGCCUAGCCUCUGUGAAACUCCUUCGACGAGUCGAGUAGUUUGGGAAUGCUGCUCUAAAUGGGAGGUAUACGUCUUCUAAAGCUAAAUACCGGCCAGAGACCGAUAGCGCACAAGUAGAGUGAUCGAAAGAUGAAAAGCACUUUGAAAAGAGGGUUAAAAAGUACGUGAAAUUGUUGAAAGGGAAGCGUUCAUGACCAGACUUGGGCAGGUUGAUCAUCCGUGGUUCUCCGCGGUGCACUCUGCCUGCCCAGGCCAGCAUCAGUUCGCCCCGGGGGAUAAAGGUUUUGGGAAUGUGGCUCCCUCGGGAGUGUUAUAGCCCACUGCGUAAUACCCUGGGGUGGACUGAGGUUCGCGCUCUGCAAGGAUGCUGGCGUAAUGGUCAUCAACGACCCGUCUUGAAACACGGACCAAGGAGUCGUCUUCGUAUGCGAGUGUUCGGGUGUCAAACCCCUACGCGUAAUGAAAGUGAACGUAGGAGAGAGCUUCGGCGCAUCUCCGACCGAUCCUGAUGUUCUCGGAUGGAUUUGAGUAAGAGCAUACGGGGCCGGACCCGAAAGAAGGUGAACUAUGCCUGUAUAGGGUGAAGCCAGAGGAAACUCUGGUGGAGGCUCGCAGCGGUUCUGACGUGCAAAUCGAUCGUCAAAUAUGGGCAUGGGGGCGAAAGACUAAUCGAACCUUCUAGUAGCUGGUUUCCGCCGAAGUUUCCCUCAGGAUAGCAGUAUUGGACUCAGUUUUAUGAGGUAAAGCGAAUGAUUAGGGACCCGGGGGCGCUAUAUUGCCUUCAUCCAUUCUCAACUUUAAAUAUGUAAGAAGCUCUUGUUGCUUAGUGGACCGUGAACAUUCGAAUGUAUUCAAUACUAUGAGCAAUUUUGGUAACAAAACUGGCGAUGCGGGAUGACCCGAGCGCGAGGU
Molecule: ribosomal RNA, 1002 nt
Filed under: Cordyceps sp. MSU001
Lineage: Eukaryota; Fungi; Ascomycota; Sordariomycetes; Hypocreales; Cordycipitaceae
Description: eukaryotic LSU rRNA
Rfam family: Eukaryotic large subunit ribosomal RNA
Source: RNAcentral